Non-coding RNA from Pelobates cultripes (western spadefoot toad), 734 nucleotides. Lineage: Eukaryota; Metazoa; Chordata; Amphibia; Anura; Pelobatidae. The record is from the annotation of a GenBank genome assembly.
CCCUACUCCAAGCCCUACGCCUGGACCCAACAAUAAAGGGAGUACACGUCAGGGAAGAAGAAUAUAAAGUGGCAGGAUACGCCUACUCCUCACCCUCACAGAUCCGAUAAAUUCACUCCCACCCCUACUACACACCAUACAAGAAUAUGCACAGGUCUCAGGCUACCGCCUCAACCUGGAUAAAACGGAAGCACUUCCAGUACAAAUCCCCCAGGAGGACCUAGACUUAUUAAAAAUAAACUAUCCGUUUCGCUUCAACCCCACGCAUAUACAGUAUCUGGGUAUAGACUUACCAGCAGACGUCUCCCAGACAUACCGACUCAAUUAUCCCCCCCUACUUCAAAAGGCAACAGCGGACCUUAAAACAUGGGAAUCCCACUCCAUCUCCUGGCUAGGAAGGGUGGCAUGCAUAAAAAUGAAUCUCCUACCGAGGUUCUUAUACCUAUACCAGACACUACCGGUUCAAAUAGUCGCCAAGGACUUUAAACUACUACAAACACAAAUAGAUCGCUUCGUAUGGGCCAACAAACGGGCCAGAAUAAGAAGAGACAGCCUCUACCUCCCGACGCACUCGGGGGGCCUAGGCCUACCCCACUUCCUCCACUAUUUCCACGCAGCCCAACUAGCACAGAUUAAAGCACUACACGCACCCAUCGGGUUGAAAAGAUGGGUAGACCUUGAACAUGACCUGUUCAGACACGAUUUCCCUUCCCUCUACAUCUGGGUCCCAAAAC